This 519-nucleotide long non-coding RNA is filed under the name Gallus gallus (chicken). Lineage: Eukaryota; Metazoa; Chordata; Aves; Galliformes; Phasianidae. The record is from RNAcentral.
UGCUCCAGCGCCCUUGCUUGAAGUUGUCCAGGUUCCUGAACUCCACCAGCGUGUUGCCAUAGUAGUAGUUGGUGACAUAGAUCCGCUCCUCCUUGGCCAGGGGGUCCUUCAUCCAGGCCCCCUCGUUGCGCCCGUAGGUGUUCUGAGUGGUGGGCCCCGAGAUGGUGGACAGCGUGUCCUUGCAGCGUCCAAUGAUGUUCCUGAUGUCCUCCUCCUCCAGGGCCUGCUUCGGGGUGGCGGGGAUGGUGGUGCUGAGCGGCGGGGGGGUGCUGGCCUGCUCUGGGGGUCCCGGGCUGCUCCCCGUGCCAGGCUCAGGGCUCAUCCCCACAUCCCAUGAGGUCUGGGUGGUGGUGGCGGCCACGGCGGGGCUGGGGACGGAGCUGUUGGCCACGGGCGGGCUCUCGGUGGCCGUGAGUGCCACCACGCUGGCUGACGCUGUCGGCAGCUGCGGGGUCUCCUCCUCGGGCAGCACCGAGGCCGUGGUUGCAGUCUCCAUGGUAGGGGGUGGCAGGCUGGCAG